CGCCAGACUCCUACGGGAGGCAGCAGUGAGGAAUAUUGGUCAAUGGGCGGAAGCCUGAACCAGCCAAGUCGCGUGAGGGAAGAAGGCCCUGCGGGUCGCAGACCUCUUUGGACGGGGAGCAAGGCCGCCGACGUGUCGGCGGAAGGAGAGUACCCGUAGAACAAGCAUCGGCUAACUCCGUGCCAGCAGCCGCGGUAAUACGGAGGAUGCGAGCGUUAUCCGGAUUUACUGGGUGUAAAGGGUGCGCAGGUGGCAGGGCAAGUCAGAUGUGAAAGCCCGGGGCUCAACCCCGGUAUUGCAUUUGAAACUGUCCGGCUAGAGUGCAGGAGAGGUAAGCGGAAUUCCUAGUGUAGCGGUGAAAUGCGUAGAUAUUAGGAGGAACACCAGUGGCGAAGGCGGCUUACUGGACUGUAACUGACACUGAGGCACGAAAGCGUGGGGAGCAAACAGGAUUAGAUACCCGCGUAC
RNAcentral lists this ribosomal RNA (468 nucleotides) under uncultured bacterium. RNAcentral's name for it is "bacterial SSU rRNA". It matches the Rfam family "Bacterial small subunit ribosomal RNA", at positions 329 to 793 of the family's 1533-position model. The record is from RNAcentral.